Molecule: ribosomal RNA, 468 nt
Filed under: uncultured bacterium
Lineage: Bacteria
Description: partial 16S ribosomal RNA
Rfam family: Bacterial small subunit ribosomal RNA
Source: RNAcentral
GACGAACGCUGGCGGCGUGCUUAACACAUGCCAGUCGAACGGAAAGGCCCGGGUUUUGUGGGGUGCUCGAGUGGCGAACGGGUGAGUAACACGUGAGUAACCUGCCCUUGACUUUGGGAUAACUUCAGGAAACUGGGGCUAAUACCGGAUAGGAGCUCCUGCUGCAUGGUGGGGGUUGGAAAGUUUCGGCGGUGGGGGAUGGACUCGCGGCUUAUCAGCUUGUUGGUGGGGUAGUGGCUUACCAAGGCUUUGACGGGUAGCCGGCCUGAGAGGGUGACCGGCCACACUGGGACUGAGAUACGGCCCAGACUCCUACGGGAGGCAGCAGUGGGGAAUAUUGCACAAUGGGCGGAGGCCUGAUGCAGCAACGCCGCGUGCGGGAUGACGGCCUUCGGGUUGUAAACCGCUUUCGCCUGUGACGAAGCGUGAGUGACGGUAACGGGUGAAGAAGCACCGGCUAACUACGUG